UCUCUCUCUCUCUCUCUCUCUCUCUCUCUCUCUCUCUCUCUCUCUCUCUCUCUCUCUCUCUCUCUCUCUCUCUCUCUCUCUCUCUCUCUCUCUCUCUCUCUCUCUCUCUCUCUCUCUCUCUCUCUCUCUCUCUCUCUCUCUCUGUGUCUGUCUGUCUCAGUCUCUGUCUCUCUUUGUCUCUGUCUCUCUCUCUGUCUCUCAGGGAAAGGUUUGCAUCUAAACACAUAACGAGUUUUUUGUUGGGAAAUCUAAGUAUCGUUAGUUUUGUGGGUGGGACAUUUUUUAGCCUGAAAUCGUGAAAAAUGAGCAUCUGAGUACGACACUCUGGCAAUGGUGCAAGCAGCGUCACCAUAUUUUCGUACUCAGAACAUCGCAUUUUCCUGUUUCUGACCCGUAGCAAUUGCAAAUAAACAUCGAUAAUUAACCAUCUGAACUCUAAUUGUAAAUGUAUAUCGUUAUCAGUGUAGGCUCUACAGUUUUAGGCCUCAAACAGAAGAAAAAGUUAUGCCUAAUACGACAAUAUAGUACCGCUGGUUGUGAACUCGAGAGUCAGUCAGUGUCAGUCAACCACCAUCGAGGGAGGGUGUGCGGCCGUGCUCGUCCUCUUCCUCCACCACCUGAGUAUUCCGGGCGGGCAGUGAUGGGCAAGAAGAGACGCAACGCCUUUUUCUACUUCAUGAUGGCCAAGAAACCCGAGGUGGAGAAGCGGCUCAAGAGAAAGGUGGAGAUGGCCAAGCUGGUGACGGCGGAGUGACAGAUCGUGCAACUGAUGGAAGCUGGGAGAGGAAGUUGCUGAUAUGUGGCAAGUUACUAUUGUCUCUCAACCAUGAUUUCUACCAGUCUACCAUAAUCUACCAGGGUCUAACCACCACACAAUAUUCGCCCAACAUCCCUCUACCAGUCUACCACAAUCCAACCAUCAGUCAUCACAAGUUCAACCCAAAAACUCAACUUGUUCAAAACUUUUUCAACUCUGUAACCCCAAAAUUUCAACCCAAGACCUGACAUUCAACCACAAUUUCUACCACCACCACAAUCUACCGGGACCUAACCACCUUAUAUUUUUUCCGGGCUUUGGCUGACUGGCUGGCUGGUCACUCAGCAAGGGACUGGAAGCUGGAACUCUCUCACAAAAAAAAGUAGCGUAAAAGUGUAUAAGGUUCAUUGAAAAGGAGAGAGGGGGGGGGGGGGUUCAAAUAUAUCCAUGGUAAUAAUAAUAUUCAACUUUAUUUAUCUUCUCUUUUAUAUAACAACAGCUGAGAGAGAGAGAUCCAUCUCAUCCUCUCUCUCUCUCCCCAACAUCCAGGUGGCAUCUUGGGAGGGGAGGGGAAGAGAAGAGAAGGGAAGAAUACAAUAGCUCACUGGUGGACAGAGGAAAGAGAGAAAGGAGGAGGAGGAGGAAGAGUCCUUCAAUAGCUCACUGGUGGACAGAGGAAAGAGAGAUGAGGAAGAAGAGUAGGGUUAAAUAUAUCCGUUGUAACAUAUAUCUCCAAACUUUAAUAAUUAGUCUUCUCUUUAUAGAAAUACAGAGAGAGAGUUCCAUAUCCAUCUCUCUUUCUCUCUCUCAUCUCUGCCCUUCAAUUAAUCUCCCUCCAUCUUCCCCCAACAGGACUAGUCUCAUCUCAUCUUCCCCAGCAUCCAGGCAGCAUCUUGAAGGCAUGACUGGUUCCCUCGACUCAGUGGUCUCGUCUCUGUCUCCCUCCCUGCAAGAGUCUGGCAGAGUUUAGUGCCAAGUGUGUGUGUGUCUCUCUCUCUCUCUCUCUCUCUCUCUCUCUCAGCUCCCAGGCCCCACAGGUGUUCCUCCAGUGUGUUGACAACCCCCACAGACACAUGCCCCCCCAGACACAUAAGGGACCCCCCCCCCUCUCUCUCUCUCUCUCUGCAAGAAGUGUCAGUUUGCUCAAUAAAUAUACAAGCAAUUUCUGGUGUUUUUUUCGUCCAUUCUGCAAAGUUUACAAAGACACAGACCUUGAUAAAAGUGGAGAUAACAAGGAAACGAAGAGGAUGAGGAAGAGGAAAGAUUAAACUAUUUUUUGGCAUAGGAGGAAGAAAGGAAGGAAAAGGGAGAGAAAUGGAGUUGAACUUGGAGGAGGAAAUGAACAAAACCACUAAAAUUACGCUGGAGAAAUACACAGACCUUGAUAAAAGUGGAGAUAGGAGAGGAAUGAAAAGGAAGAGGAAGAAGCGGAAGACAGGAGGAGGAAGAGGAAAGAUUAAGCAAUUUUGGGGCAUAGGAGGAAAGGAGGAAGAGGUGGAGAAAAA
Eriocheir sinensis (Chinese mitten crab) is the source of this 2262-nucleotide long non-coding RNA. RefSeq lists it as uncharacterized. The transcript has 2 exons. NCBI's taxonomy places the organism in Eukaryota, Metazoa, Arthropoda, Malacostraca, Decapoda, Varunidae. The record is from RefSeq and is a predicted model, not a curated record.